CAGAUAUUGUGAUAUAGACAGUCAAGGGAAUAAAGCAUUGGUCAUGAAACAGUAUCUUUCAAAUGAAAAAGUUGAUGAAAUUAAUGAAAUUAUUGAGAUGAAAAUAACUCACAGGAAGAAUAUUGAACGAAGGAAGGCAAAAUUUGGAAUUGAUUCAGUAUCAGAGAUGGGAAAGAAUAUUGCUGGCGCUGCAGUUCUUGUUCCUGACAGUUCAGACGGAUCCCCUCCAGAGAAUCCAUUCGGGGAUUAAUUAUCUAAUCCAUAGUUCCUUACAGCACAGAUGGAUCCGCUUCAUAGAAUUCAUUCGGGUAUUAAAAUUCAAUCAUUAGUUCCAGAAAGUGAAGACGAAUCCACUUCAUAGGAUCCAUUCGGAGACUAGAAUUCAACCCUAUAGCUCGUAAAGCAGAGAUGGAUCCCCUUCAGAGAAUCCAUUCGGAGACUAGAAUUUAAUCCAUAGUUUCGUAAAGUCCAGAUUGAUCCCCUUGGGAGAUUAUAAUUCAAUCCUUAGUUCCUGACAUUUCAGAUGGAUCCCCACUAGAGAAUCCAUUUGGAGAUUUGAAUUCAAUCCUUAGAUUUUACAGUUCAGACGGAUCCCCUCCAGAGAGUCCAUUCGAUAUCUACAGUUCAGAUAGAUCCCAUCCAGAGAAUCCAUUCGGAGAUUUAAAUUCAAUCCUUAGCUUUUACAGUUUCCUAUGAUCCCUUCCGGAGAAUUUAUUUGGAGAUUAGAAUUCAAUCCUUAGUUUUUUACAGCUUAGAUGAAAUUCAAGCCGUAGUUCCUAACAGGCUAUGGAUUAUUGACAUCACACCCCCUCCUUUAUUACUCUCGAAGAAUAAAUUUGAUUAAUUUGUCCCCGAAUCCUGAACGCUAAUUUGAAACAAAAUAUGAUUUGAUUUCAAUCAAGUCGAAAUAAAUUUAGACCAUGAA
This is a long non-coding RNA of Eurytemora carolleeae, 925 nucleotides long. RefSeq lists it as uncharacterized. The transcript is spliced from 3 exons. The record is from RefSeq and is a predicted model, not a curated record. NCBI's taxonomy places the organism in Eukaryota, Metazoa, Arthropoda, Copepoda, Calanoida, Temoridae.